RNAcentral lists this ribosomal RNA (274 nucleotides) under uncultured bacterium. RNAcentral's name for it is "partial 16S ribosomal RNA". It matches the Rfam family "Bacterial small subunit ribosomal RNA", at positions 523 to 796 of the family's 1533-position model. The record is from RNAcentral.
AUACGGAGGGUGCAAGCGUUAUCCGGAUUCAUUGGGUUUAAAGGGUACGUAGGCGGAUAGAUAAGUUAGCGGUGAAAUCCCGAAGCUCAACUUCGGAACUGCCAUUAAAACUGUCUAUCUAGAAUUUGGUUGAAGUGGGCGGAAUAUGACAUGUAGCGGUGAAAUGCAUAGAUAUGUCAUGGAACACCGAUAGUGAAGACAGCUCACUAAGCCAAUAUUGACGCUGAGGUACGAAAGCAUGGGUAGCGAACAGGAUUAGAAACCCCAGUAGUCC